GAGAUGCUUUGCGUCGUCAAAAUAAACUUAAAAUUCCAGUUAGUAAUAUAUCAUGUAAAUAAUAUUUUAUUUAAUUUUAUCUAGUUUUAGGUUGUGAUUUUCAUUUUUAAAAAAUUGUAGGUAAGAACUUUCGGGAUAUACUAACGAUCCAGGAUUUUUAGCACCAUAUCAAGGGACUAGAUAUCAUUUGAAUGAGUGGAUUAGAAACACCCCUCAAAAUUUCAAAGAGUUAUUUAAUCUUUGUCAUUCAAGUGUACGAAAUGCAAUAAAAAGGUUUUUUGAAAUAUUGAAAAAAAAGAUGGAGUAUAUUAAGAACUCCUUCAUUUUUUGAUAUAAAGACGCAAAUAAGAAUUAUUAAUGCUUGCUUUGUGUUACACAAUUUUAUAAGAGACGAGAAACAAAUUGAUCAACUUUUGGAGGUUAAAGACUUGGAGCUCUUAGCUAUUGUUGAUGAGGAGCUAACUAACCAACAAAGAGAAAGAGUUCAAAACAAUGUCAUAGACGAGGUUGUAACUAUUCAAGUUACUGGGGAAUGGACGAGAUUUCGAGAUACAUUGGCAAUGAAUAUGUUUGCUAACUACCAAGUUAGAAGAAACAUUGCUUAGGGAGAGUUUUUUUAUGCAAUUUCUAUUAAAGAAAGACUUUUUUUUCUGUACUUAAUGGACUUUUAUGUACUAGAUUGAAGAAAACUUUGGUUGAAAUAUUGUCUUUUGAUAGCUUCCAUUUGUUUUCAAAAAAAAUAUUUACAUGAUCUAUAAUUAUGCAUUGGAUUGAUCAAGUUAAUUUUGUGGGUUGAUGUAUUUUGAGAUUAAAGAAGUUUGGGCAAUAUGAGUGAUAGAGCUUGGAAAAGGGUAACAUACAAUGUUGCAGCUAUAGUAUAAUCUAUCAACUUCAAAAUCUAGGUCACUUGGGAGAAUGUAAAAAAUCGUAUCAAACUUUGGAGAUCAUGCUAUGGAGUUAAUAGUGACAUCCUCAGUCAAAGUGGAUUUGAUUGGGAUGACAUAAAACACACGAUUACAGUUGACAAUGAAAAUGUUUGGAAUGAGUAUGUUAAUGCCCAUAAAGAAGCAAGACAACUUCGACUCAAGGUGAUUGCAAACUGGGAUGAUAUAGUGAACUUGUGUGCUAAAGAUAGAGCCACUUGACAUGAAGUUGAGACUGUUAUGGAUGCUGAUGAGGUCAUGAGCAGAUAAAUAAAUGAAGGGGGAAUUAGGUUUAGAGGGUGAUAGUGUUACCAUAUAUUUAGAUGAACCUAGCUUUACUACACAAAGAAGGGGUUAAUCUUCAACUUCUACUAGCACACAAUCUCAGAGGAGAAAGAAGGGGAAAAAAGAUGAAAAAUCUAAUUCAUUGAAAGAAGUGGCUGAAUCUUUAAAGAGACUUGUUCAAGCAUUUGAUAUUGCGGUUGAUGAAAAUGCUUUUAUUUAAGAAGUGUCAGCUGAGGCAUCUUUGAUACCAAACCUUAAUCAACAUCAAUGGGUCAAAGCUGUUAAAUGGUUAUUUGACACUCCAAAGCAAUUAGCUAUUGUGAAAGCCCUUCCAAUUAAGAAAAAAGGUUUGGAGCUUUUAUGUAUUUCAUGAAUACUUGGAAGUUACCAUUAGGCUUUGCAUCUAUGAGAAGGUGAAAAUCUUUGGUCUUGAAGUUGUGAUCUUGAUAUCUUUGACAAACUAUCUUUUAUUUUUGUUAUCUUGAUAUGGACACACAUACAUUUGGGAUUUCAUUAGUGUUUAUUUUAAAUCUACAUGAGAUAUUGUGAUUUUGAACUAUCUAUAUUCAAAGUUAAGA
Molecule: non-coding RNA, 1786 nt
Organism: Cajanus cajan (pigeon pea)
Lineage: Eukaryota; Viridiplantae; Streptophyta; Magnoliopsida; Fabales; Fabaceae
Source: RefSeq, a predicted model, not a curated record